AUGGAGACAUGGCCGGAGCCGGGCCACCAGGAACAGAUGCAGGAGUGGCCGGAGCCGGGCCACCAGGAACUGAUGCAGGCGUGGCCGGAGCCGGGCCACCAGGAACCGAUGCAGGCGUGGCCGGUGCCGGGCCCUCAGGAACCGAUGCAAGCGUGGCAGGUGCCAAGCCACCAGGAACCGAUGCAGAUGCGGCAGGCACCGGACCACCAGGAGCGGAGACGAGCGUGGCCGGGACUGGACCACCAAGAGCGGAGACGAGCGUGGCCGGGACCGGACCACCAUGAGCGGAGACAAGCGUGGCCGGGACCGGACCACCAGGAGCUGAGGCAGAUGCGAUCUGUGCCAGAUCACCAGGAAUCGCUGCAGAUGCGGGCGGUGCUGGACCACCAAGAGCUGCACCUGCACACAUUGACCCAAAAAACACGGGAACCAGAAGCGGGCCGACCACCUCCCGCCCACCGGGGACUGGAACGUCAGGAGCUGAAGCUGGGACGACCUCCUCAUCCUGGAGGCCAGCAGGAAAUGAAGCUGGACCGACCUCCUCAUCCUGGAGACCGGCAGGAAACAAAGCUGGACCGACCUCCUCCGGGAGGCCAGCAGGAGACAGAAACGCGGGAAAUGCGGCAGGCGCUGCGGCAGGAUCGACCCCCUCCUAGGGAUCAUCGGGAACCGCGGCAGGCGCUGCGGCAGGUGCUGCGGCAGGCGCCUCUCCGAGGCCGACAGUGGCAGGAAGUAGAACGACCUCAACCGGGAGGUCGACCGGAACUGGAACAACCUCAAUUGGGAGGUCGACAUGAACUGGAACGACCUCAACCGGGAGGUCGACAUGAACUGGAACAACCUCAACCGGGAGGUCGACAGGAACUGGAACGACCCCAACAGGGAGGUCGACAGGGACUGGAGCCUGGUUUGGCUGGCAAGGGGUGUCCACUAGCUGGCGUAAAGCUGGAGCUUGAGCUUGACGUGGCUGAGCUGAGGCUUGAGCUGGAGCUUGAGCUUGAGCUUGCGCUUGAGCUUGACGUGGCUGAGUUAAGGCUAAGGCAGGAGUGGCUGCAGCCUGAGACGCUGGAGUGGCUGCAGCCUGAGACGCUGGAGUGGCUGCAGCCUGAGACGCUGGAGUGGCUGCAGCCUGAGACGCUGGAGUGGCUGCAGCCUGAGACGCUGGGGCCAGUGGUGCAGCCUGAGAUGCUGGGGCCAGUGAUGCAGCCUGAGAUGCUGGGGCCAGUGAUGCAGACAGAGACGCUGGGGCCAGUGAUGCAGACAGAGACGCUGGGGCCAGUGAUGCAGCCAGAGACGCUGGGACCAGUGCAGGCUGAGACGCAGGAACGGAUGCAGGCUGAGACGCAGGAACGGAUGCAGGCUGAGACGCAGGAACGGAUGCAGGCUGAGACGCAGGAACGGAUGCAGGCUGAGACGCAGGAACGGAUGCAGGCUGAGACGCAGGAACGAGUGCGGGCUUAG
This 1461-nucleotide long non-coding RNA is filed under the name Betta splendens (Siamese fighting fish). RNAcentral's name for it is "lncRNA (ENSBSLG00000018604.1)". The record is from RNAcentral. Lineage: Eukaryota; Metazoa; Chordata; Actinopteri; Anabantiformes; Osphronemidae.